ACGGGAGGCAGCAGUGAGGAAUAUUGCACAAUGGGGGAAACCCUGAUGCAGCGACGCCGCGUGAGUGAAGAAGUAUUUCGGUAUGUAAAGCUCUAUCAGCAGGGAAGAAAAUGACGGUACCUGAAUAAGAAGCCCCGGCUAACUACGUGCCAGCAGCCGCGGUAAUACGUAGGGGGCAAGCGUUAUCCGGAUUUACUGGGUGUAAAGGGAGCGUAGACGGCAUGGCAAGUCUGAAGUGAAAGCUCGGGGCUCAACCCCGGAACUGCUUUGGAAACUGUCAAGCUGGAGUACCGGAGAGGUAAGCGGAAUUCCUAGUGUAGCGGUGAAAUGCGUAGAUAUUAGGAGGAACACCAGUGGCGAAGGCGGCUUGCUGGACGGUAACUGACGUUGAGGCUCGAAAGCGUGGGGAGCAAACAGGAUUAGAUACCCUGGUA
This 434-nucleotide ribosomal RNA is filed under the name uncultured bacterium. Its description in RNAcentral is "partial 16S ribosomal RNA". It matches the Rfam family "Bacterial small subunit ribosomal RNA", at positions 341 to 792 of the family's 1533-position model. The record is from RNAcentral.